Mustela erminea (ermine) is the source of this 2939-nucleotide RNA transcript. It is a transcript of the gene named chromosome 11 C7orf25 homolog, with no coding region annotated. The transcript is spliced from 3 exons. Lineage: Eukaryota; Metazoa; Chordata; Mammalia; Carnivora; Mustelidae. The record is from RefSeq and is a predicted model, not a curated record.
AAGCCGGGUGCCCUCAACAAACAUGGCGGCCGCGUUAGCGUCAUUCUCGCUCGGGAGGCCACGCUCCCGCCUGGGACUCGCGGACUCGGCGUCACCCCGCGCGGGACCACGUGACUCAGGAGGCUCCCGAGGCGGCGGCGCUCGCGCGGCCUCAGCAGCCGCAGCUGCUAGGAGUGGGGUGGGGUCUGCCGGGCGAGCAUUCCCGGCGGGUCCCGGCCUCGCGCGCGCACGUGUCUGCCUACUCGCGCACGCGGUCCUGGCGCAGCCGGAAAGGAAUAAUGCUGUCAGCAUGUCUGCACACUCCAUGCUCUGUGAACGAAUCGCCAUCGCCAAGGAACUGAUCAAGAGAGCAGAAUCACUGUCUAGAUCAAGAAAAGGUGGCAUAGAAGGUGGCGCAAAGCUGUGCAGCAAAUUGAAGGCAGAGUUAAAAUUCUUACAGAAAGUAGAAGCCGGGAAAGUAGCGAUUAAGGAGUCCCAUCUGCAGAGCACUAACCUAACACACCUAAGAGCCAUCGUGGAAUCAGCAGAAAACUUGGAAGAAGUUGUUAGUGUUCUUCAUGUCUUUGGUUACACAGAUACCAUGGGAGAAAAGCAGACCCUAGUGGUGGAUGUGGUUGCCAAUGGUGGUCAUACGUGGGUGAAAGCCAUUGGCCGAAAGGCUGAAGCUCUUCAUAACAUCUGGCUGGGUAGGGGCCAGUAUGGUGACAAAAGUAUCAUUGAGCAGGCUGAAGACUUCCUCCAGGCCAGUCACCAGCAGCCAGUGCAGUACAGCAACCCUCACAUCAUCUUUGCAUUUUACAACAGUGUCUCCAGCCCCAUGGCAGAGAAGCUCAAAGAAAUGGGCAUUUCUGUGAGAGGAGACAUAGUAGCCGUUAACUCUCUGUUAGAUCACCCAGAAGAGCUCCAGCCCAGUGAGAGUGAGUCAGAUGAUGAGGGCCCUGAAUUUUUGCAGGUGACCCAAGUGGACCGAGAAAAUAUUCUAGCAAGUGUUGCCUUUCCAACAGAAAUUAAGGUCGAUGUGUGCAAAAGAGUGAAUCUGGACAUUACGACUUUAAUUACAUACGUAUCUGCCCUCAGCUAUGGAGGCUGCCACUUUGUCUUCAAAGAGAAAGUGCUUACGGAACAAGCAGAGCAAGAGAGGAAGGAGCAGGUUUUGCCACAGCUGGAGGCGUUUAUGAAGGACAAGGAGUUGUUUGCCUGUCAUUCUGCUGUCAAAGACUUUCAGUCUAUUCUAGAUACCUUAGGAGGACCUGGGGAGAGAGAGAGGGCCACUAUGCUGAUUAAGCAAAUUAAUGUGGUACCUGACCAGCCUUCUGAGCGUGCCUUGAGACUAGUGGCCAGUUCAAAAAUCAAUAGCCGCUCGCUAACAAUUUUUGGGACAGGAGACACUCUAAAAGCCAUCACGAUGACUGCCAAUAGUGGUUUUGUCAGAGCUGCCAACAACCAGGGUGUUAAAUUUAGUGUGUUUAUCCAUCAGCCUAGAGCACUUACUGAGAGCAAAGAGGCUCUCGCCACCCCUUUACCAAAAGACCACACAACCGCAAUGAACACUGAUGAUACCCUUUAAAUAUUUUCAUGGAAAUAAGUUAUUGAUACCAAAGGCUGGGUCUUCCCAUCUUAAAUGGGAAGGAAGAAAAGGUCUAUAGUAAAAAUAAUACUUAGCACUCUUAACCUGUAGAGUUGAUUGUGUGUGUCAUCUAUAAAAUACAUAACCCAAAGUAGAAAAAGUACAAGAGACAAACAAUUUACCAAACUGCCUACGUUUUAGCAACCAAGAAAAUACAUCUAUAUAAAGCUUUUAGCUGUGUGACAGUACUUUUAUUUGAUCGAGUAGGGCAACAUCCCCCUAGUGGCAAUUGGCAUUUCAUGGGAUGUGGCUACCCUGCGUCUCGCAUAAAAUACCUGGAGAAAACUGAAGCUUGUUUUUUGUUAUGUUGGUUCAUCAUUCAUGUGGGUUGAGGCUGGGAAGUUUAUAAUUAGUUUUUGAUUAUGAAGUUAUGGCCAUUAUGAAUGAAAAGAAACUUCUUGACUGCGCAUGUCAGGCAUACUCUGGUGCGUGCAUUUACAAAGAGUACAUUAAUACAGAAGAAAAUAAAGUGAAUACUGGGCAUGUGAAACCCAUGAACCGAUGUAUACACCUUUGUGAAAAGAAAGAGUUUUGGCUGAUUGUUUGGGUCAUCCUAAGAAGAAAGCAAUUGCAGAUAUCACUCUGAGAGAUUUCCCAGCUUGGAUGUUAGGAUUAGCCCAGGAGAUGAACCCUUUUACCACAAACCAUUUCAUUUUAGGAAAGAAAUUUUUUUGCACCUCCAACUAUAAAGGUAUAGAAACAGAAGAGCCAUACAAAAUGAUAGAUCUAAAUUAAAUAUAGAUCCAAACUAAAAUUAAUUUCAAAUUGAACAUUUCUGUCCUUUUUUUUUUUUUUCCUUUGGUGGACAACUACAUAGACUAGUGAACUAUAGAGCAAACACCCACAAUACAGACACAGGCAGUUAUGUCCGUACACACACGUGUGUGUAUCUAUUUUGCAUAGUUUUCUCCCUUUACAUUAAAAAAAUGAAAAUUUUUUUCCUACGAAAGUUUCUUCAAAAAAUCUCUGCUAAAGAAAAUAGUUGUCCAUAAUUUAUGAAUUAAGGGUGGAAUUGUUUUGGAGUGGGGUGUGUGUGUGUGUGUGUGCGCGCGUGCACACACCGGGAGCGGUCAAGGGGGGCGGAGGGUCGUGGUUCCUAAAUCUUUGGCUUAGAAGACAAAGCACAGAGCUUUUGAGGCCUUAUCCUGGGAUAUUUUGCAGUGGAUGAAGAAAGAAUUCUCAGCCAGCAGGACUCCCUUAGAAGAUGAAGAUAGGGCUAAUAGCUACAAUUUUACUAACAACAGCAAUAUCAGUGACAACAAAAAUGUCCUCUCUGGGCCUAACCCAGUCACAGAGUGAACUAAAUAAAUUA